RNAcentral lists this ribosomal RNA (294 nucleotides) under uncultured bacterium. Its description in RNAcentral is "partial 16S ribosomal RNA". It matches the Rfam family "Bacterial small subunit ribosomal RNA", at positions 775 to 1067 of the family's 1533-position model. The record is from RNAcentral.
GGAUUAGAUACCCUGGUAGUCCACGCCGUAAACGAUGAGAACUAGCCGUUGGGCCUAUUAAAAGGUUUAGUGGCGAAGCUAACGCGAUAAGUUCUCCGCCUGGGGAGUACGGCCGCAAGGUUAAAACUCAAAUGAAUUGACGGGGGCCCGCACAAGCGGUGGAGCAUGUGGUUUAAUUCGAUGCAACGCGAAGAACCUUACCACCCCUUGACAUCCUCAGCAUUGGUCAGAGAUGACUGAGUGCCUUCGGGAACUGAGAGACAGGUGCUGCAUGGCUGUCGUCAGCUCGUGCUG